GACGAACGCUGGCGGCGUGCUUAACACAUGCAAGUCGAACGGAAAGGCCCCCAUCUUGGUGGGGGUGCUCGAGUGGCGAACGGGUGAGUAACACGUGGGUGAUCUGCCCUGUACUUCGGGAUAAGCUUGGGAAACUGGGUCUAAUACCGGAUAGGACCAUGGUUUAGUGUCUCAUGGUGGAAAGAUUAUUGUUUUGGUGCAGGAUGAGCUCGCGGCCUAUCAGCUUGUUGGUGGGGUAAUGGCCUACCAAGGCGUCGACGGGUAGCCGGCCUGAGAGGGUGGACGGCCACAUUGGGACUGAGAUACGGACCAGACUCCUACGGGAGGCAGCAGUGGGGAAUAUUGCACAAUGGGGGCAAGCCUGAUGCAGCGACGCCGCGUGGGGGAUGACGGCCUUCGGGUUGUAAACUCCUUUCGUUAGGGACGAAGCCGCACUUUUUUUGGGUGUGGUGACGGUACCUUUGUUAAGAAGCACCGGCUAACUACGUG
Molecule: ribosomal RNA, 489 nt
Filed under: uncultured bacterium
Lineage: Bacteria
Description: partial 16S ribosomal RNA
Rfam family: Bacterial small subunit ribosomal RNA
Source: RNAcentral